AAAAAAGGUAAGCUACUAAGAGCGAAUGGUGGAUGCCUUGACUGGUAAAGGCGAUGAAGGACGUACUAGACUGCGAUAAGCUACGGGGAGCUGUCAAGAAGCUUUGAUCCGUAGAUUUCCGAAUGGGGCAACCCAAUGUAUAGAGAUAUACAUUACCUAUAUAGGAGCGAACGAGGGGAAUUGAAACAUCUUAGUACCCUCAGGAAAAGAAAUCAAUAGAGAUUGCGUCAGUAGCGGCGAGCGAAAGCGUAAGAGGGCAAACCCAGUGCUUGCACUGGGGGUUGUAGGACUGCAAUGUGCAAGAGGUGAGUUUAGCAGAACAUUCUGGAAAGUAUAGCCAUAGAGGGUGAUAGUCCCGUAUGCGAAAAACAAACCUUAGCUAGCAGUAUCCUGAGUAGGGCGGGACACGAGAAAUCCUGUCUGAAGCUGGGUCGACCACGAUCCAACCCUAAAUACUAAUACCAGAUCGAUAGUGCACAAGUACCGUGAGGGAAAGGUGAAAAGAACUGAGGUGAUCAGAGUGAAAUAGAACCUGAAACCAUUUGCUUACAAUCAUUCAGAGCACUAUGUAGCAAUACAGUGUGAUGGACUGCCUUUUGCAUAAUGAGCCUGCGAGUUGUGGUGUCUGGCAAGGUUAAGCAAACGCGAAGCCGUAGCGAAAGCGAGUCUGAAUAGGGCGCUUAGUCAGAUGCUGCAGACCCGAAACGAAGUGAUCUAUCCAUGAGCAAGUUGAAGCUAGUGUAAGAACUAGUGGAGGACUGAACCCAUAGGCGUUGAAAAGCCCCGGGAUGACUUGUGGAUAGGGGUGAAAGGCCAAUCAAACUUCGUGAUAGCUGGUUCUCUCCGAAAUAUAUUUAGGUAUAGCGUUGUGUCGUAAUAUAAGGGGGUAGAGCACUGAAUGGGCUAGGGCAUACACCAAUGUACCAAACCCUAUCAAACUCCGAAUACCUUAUAUGUAAUCACAGCAGUCAGGCGGCGAGUGAUAAAAUCCGUCGUCAAGAGGGAAACAACCCAGACUACCAGCUAAGGUCCCUAAAUCUUACUUAAGUGGAAAACGAUGUGAAGUUACUUAAACAACCAGGAGGUUGGCUUAGAAGCAGCCAUCCUUUAAAGAAAGCGUAAUAGCUCACUGGUCUAGUGAUUUUGCGCGGAAAAUAUAACGGGGCUAAAGUAAGUACCGAAGCUGUAGACUUGAUUUUAUCAAGUGGUAGGAGAGCGUUCUAUUUGCGCCGAAGGUAUACUGGUAAGGAGUGCUGGAGCGAAUAGAAGUGAGCAUGCAGGCAUGAGUAGCGAUAAUUAAUGUGAGAAUCAUUAACGCCGUAAACCCAAGGUUUCCUACGCGAUGCUCGUCAUCGUAGGGUUAGUCGGGUCCUAAGUCGAGUCCGAAAGGGGUAGACGAUGGCAAAUUGGUUAAUAUUCCAAUACCAACAUUAGUGUGCGAUGGAAGGACGCUUAGGGCUAAGGGGGCUAGCGGAUGGAAGUGCUAGUCUAAGGUCGUAGGAGGUUAUACAGGCAAAUCCGUAUAACAAUACUCCGAGAACUGAAAGGCUUUUUGAAGUCUUCGGAUGGAUAGAAGAACCCCUGAUGCCGUCGAGCCAAGAAAAGUUUCUAAGUUUAGCUAAUGUUGCCCGUACCGUAAACCGACACAGGUGGGUGGGAUGAGUAUUCUAAGGCGCGUGGAAGAACUCUCUUUAAGGAACUCUGCAAAAUAGCACCGUAUCUUCGGUAUAAGGUGUGGUUCGCUUCGUAUUAGGAUUUACUCCGAAAGCGAAGAAACUUACAACAAAGAGUCCCUCCCGACUGUUUACCAAAAACACAGCACUCUGCUAACUCGUAAGAGGAUGUAUAGGGUGUGACGCCUGCCCGGUGCUCGAAGGUUAAUUGAUGGGGUUAGCAUUAGCGAAGCUCUUGAUCGAAGCCCGAGUAAACGGCGGCCGUAACUAUAACGGUCCUAAGGUAGCGAAAUUCCUUGUCGGUUAAAUACCGACCUGCAUGAAUGGCGUAACGAGAUGGGAGCUGUCUCAAAGAGGGAUCCAGUGAAAUUGUAGUGGAGGUGAAAAUUCCUCCUACCCGCGGCAAGACGGAAAGACCCCGUGGACCUUUACUACAGCUUGACACUGCUAUUUGGAUAAGAAUGUGCAGGAUAGGUGGGAGGCUUUGAGUAUAUGACGCCAGUUGUAUAUGAGCCAUUGUUGAGAUACCACUCUUUCUUAUUUGGGUAGCUAACCAGCUUGAGUUAUCCUCAAGUGGGACAAUGUCUGGUGGGUAGUUUGACUGGGGCGGUCGCCUCCCAAAUAAUAACGGAGGCUUACAAAGGUUGGCUCAGAACGGUUGGAAAUCGUUCGUAGAGUAUAAAGGUAUAAGCCAGCUUAACUGCAAGACAUACAAGUCAAGCAGAGACGAAAGUCGGUCUUAGUGAUCCGGUGGUUCUGUGUGGAAGGGCCAUCGCUCAAAGGAUAAAAGGUACCCCGGGGAUAACAGGCUGAUCUCCCCCAAGAGCUCACAUCGACGGGGAGGUUUGGCACCUCGAUGUCGGCUCAUCGCAUCCUGGGGCUGGAGCAGGUCCCAAGGGUAUGGCUGUUCGCCAUUUAAAGCGGUACGCGAGCUGGGUUCAGAACGUCGUGAGACAGUUCGGUCCCUAUCUGCCGUGGGCGUAAGAAGAUUGAAGAGAUUUGACCCUAGUACGAGAGGACCGGGUUGAACAAACCACUGGUGUAGCUGUUGUUCUGCCAAGAGCAUCGCAGCGUAGCUAAGUUUGGAAAGGAUAAACGCUGAAAGCAUCUAAGCGUGAAGCCAACUCUAAGAUGAAUCUUCUCUAAGCUCUCUAGAAGACUACUAGUUUGAUAGGCUGGGUGUGUAAUGGAUGAAAGUCCUUUAGCUGACCAGUACUAAUAGAGCGUUUGGCUUAUCUUUAAUAAAGCAU
Molecule: ribosomal RNA, 2923 nt
Filed under: Campylobacter coli
Lineage: Bacteria; Pseudomonadati; Campylobacterota; Epsilonproteobacteria; Campylobacterales; Campylobacteraceae
Description: 23S ribosomal RNA
Rfam family: Bacterial large subunit ribosomal RNA
Source: RNAcentral